This 484-nucleotide ribosomal RNA is filed under the name uncultured bacterium. RNAcentral's name for it is "partial 16S ribosomal RNA". It matches the Rfam family "Bacterial small subunit ribosomal RNA", at positions 30 to 507 of the family's 1533-position model. The record is from RNAcentral.
AUUGAACGCUGGCGGCAGGCCUAACACAUGCAAGUCGAGCGGAUGAAGGGAGCUUGCUCCUGGAUUCAGCGGCGGACGGGUGAGUAAUGCCUAGGAAUCUGCCUGGUAGUGGGGGAUAACGUCCGGAAACGGGCGCUAAUACCGCCUACGUCCUGAGGGAGAAAGUGGGGGAUCUUCGGACCUCACGCUAUCAGAUGAGCCUAGGUCGGAUUAGCUAGUUGGUGGGGUAAAGGCCUACCAAGGCGACGAUCCGUAACUGGUCUGAGAGGAUGAUCAGUCACACUGGAACUGAGACACGGUCCAGACUCCUACGGGAGGCAGCAGUGGGGAAUAUUGGACAAUGGGCGAAAGCCUGACCCAGCCAUGCCGCGUGUGUGAAGAAGGUCUUCGGAUUGUAAAGCACUUUAAGUUGGGAGGAAGGGCAGUAAGUUAAUACCUUGCUGUUUUGACGUUACCAACAGAAUAAGCACCGGCUAACUUCGUG